GUAAAAGAAGAACAAACUCAAGCAUUGAUGCAUCACCGCUACCUUUUCCUCAGUUCAUCAGUUCUCAUAAAUAAUCUUAUUUCUGUGGAUUACUAUUUGUUCAACGAUGAUCAUCACCAGAGAUAUUCACAAGAGAGAGAGAGAAAGAGAGAGAGAGAGAGAGAGAGAGAGAGAGAGAGAGAGAGAGAGAGAGAGAUUGUGCAAACUUGCUGACCUUUGGAGACAGGAUUAUGCAAUUUACUAUUAAAGCAACCAUAAUAUCACAGUAUUGACCUGGACUGGGACCAAUCGUAUAUAAUGGUGUGUGUACUGUAUAUAUAAAUAUAUAAAAAAAAUUCACUUUUUUGUGAAAUAUGUCAUUUGUAAAAUAAAUACAUCACUUUUUUUUAACAAAAUCUUGUUGUAAAUCUUCAUAGAUUUUUUUGUUAUUCUUUACUACAUAUGUUUAUUUAGUGACUUUGGACUCUUUGUGUAAUGUGACUUAUAAAUGGGACUUUAUAUUAAAGUAAAAAUGGUUAUGGUCACUAUUGUUUUUUUGUAAUGAAAACCUAAUAAAAGGAUUUUCCUAAAGAAAAAUGGGCCUGUUUGAAUUGAACAAAACUUACACAGCAGCACUGUUUCAAGAGAACAAUGAAAAUGUAAAUGAAGAUUAAUUUUGUAAAUGAUGUGGAUCCAGAUAGUUUGAUUCAAAAAUCAGAUUUACAGAUUACCUGAAACUAAGGCCAUGUCCCUUCUUUAUUGUGUCAAAAGUUAUUUAAGCGUGAUUGUUUUAAACAAAAGAACCUUUAGAAUUAGAGACAAAUUAAUUAUUUCAGUGAAGAAUCUGCCUCAAGCAUGUAUCUGUCAUGACACUCAAUGAUUUUUAUACAUCCAACAAUAAAUUAUCGGACCCGCUGCUCUGACUGAAUUUCCUCACUUGUUCAGUCGUUCACUACUCCCUAUAUUAGCAAAUGCUAAAUAGUCCACUAUAUGGGGAAGAAGUGAACAAAAAUGAAUGAGACUCUUUCAGACGCUGAUGUAAAUAUCAUGCAUUAGAUAGUAAUAGACAUCACUGUGAAAUCAUCCUACACUGCAAAAAACUAACUUGGUAUUUUUGUCUUGUUUUCAGUACAAAUAUCAAAACAUUCUUAAAUCAAGAUGCAUUUUCUUGACGAGCAAAAUAAGUCUAGUUUUUAGACAAAAAAUAUACAAUUUAAGUGAAUUUGUGCUUAACACAAACAAAUUUUUCAUGAAUUAAGUGUUUAAAAAAGUUCAA
This is a long non-coding RNA of Paramisgurnus dabryanus, 1255 nucleotides long. RefSeq lists it as uncharacterized. NCBI's taxonomy places the organism in Eukaryota, Metazoa, Chordata, Actinopteri, Cypriniformes, Cobitidae. The record is from RefSeq and is a predicted model, not a curated record.